Molecule: ribosomal RNA, 253 nt
Filed under: uncultured bacterium
Lineage: Bacteria
Description: partial 16S ribosomal RNA
Rfam family: Bacterial small subunit ribosomal RNA
Source: RNAcentral
UACGUAGGGCGCAAGCGUUAUCCGGAAUUAUUGGGCGUAAAGGGUGCGUAGGCGGCGCGGUAAGUCGGGUGUGAAAUCUCGGAGCUUAACUCCGAAACUGCAUUCGAUACUGCCGUGCUUGAGGACUGGAGAGGAGACUGGAAUUUACGGUGUAGCGGUGAAAUGCGUAGAUAUCGUAAGGAAGACCAGUGGCGAAGGCGGGUCUCUGGACAGUUCCUGACGCUGAGGCACGAAGGUCAGGGGAGCAAACGGG